This 528-nucleotide ribosomal RNA is filed under the name uncultured bacterium. Its description in RNAcentral is "bacterial SSU rRNA". It matches the Rfam family "Bacterial small subunit ribosomal RNA", at positions 41 to 605 of the family's 1533-position model. The record is from RNAcentral.
GGCGUGGAUAGGCAUGCAAGUCGGGGGAAUCCCGCAAGGGGGAACCGGCGUAAGGGGCAGUAAUGUGUGGGUACCUACCUUUGGGUUCGGGAUAGCCAUCAGAGAUGGUGGGUAAUACCGGAUGACGUCGUGAGACCAAAGAUUUAUCGCCCGGAGAGGGGCCCACAUGAUAUUAGCUUGUUGGUGGGGUAACGGCUCACCAAGGCGAAGAUGUCUAGCGGGUGUGAGAGCACGACCCGCGCCACUCGCACUGAGACACUGGCGAGACACCUACGGGUGGCUGCAGUCGAGGAUCCUCGGCAAUGAGCGCAAGCUUGACCGAGCGACGCCGCGUGAGCGAUGAAGGCCUUCGGGUUGUAAAGCUCUUUAGUGGGGGAGGAAAGCCGAAAGGCGUGAUCUAUCCCAAAAAUAAGCACGGGCUAAGUUCGUGCCAGCAGCCGCGGUAAGACGAACCGUGCGAACGUUGUUCGGAAUCACUGGGCUUAAAGGGCGCGUACGCGGGCUGUCAAGUCUGGGGUGAAAUGCCGC